AUGAACGCUGGCGGCGUGCCUAAUACAUGCAAGUCGAGCGAACGGACGAGAAGCUUGCUUCUCUGAUGUUAGCGGCGGACGGGUGAGUAGCACGUGGAUAACCUACCUAUAAGACUGGGAUAACUUCGGGAAACCGGAGCUAAUACCGGAUGAUAUUUUGAACCGCAUGGUUCAAAAGUGAAAGACGGUCUUGCUGUCACUUAUAGAUGGAUCCGCGCUGCAUUAGCUAGUUGGUAAGGUAACGGCUUACCAAGGCAACGAUGCAUAGCCGACCUGAGAGGGUGAUCGGCCACACUGGAACUGAGACACGGUCCAGACUCCUACGGGAGGCAGCAGUAGGGAAUCUUCCGCAAUGGGCGAAAGCCUGACGGAGCAACGCCGCGUGAGUGAUGUAGGUCUCCGGAUCGUAAAACUCUGUUAUUAGGGAAGAACAUAUGUGUAAGUAACUGUGCACAUCUUGACGGUACCUAAUCAGAAAGCCACGGCUAACUACGUG
This 496-nucleotide ribosomal RNA is filed under the name uncultured bacterium. Its description in RNAcentral is "partial 16S ribosomal RNA". It matches the Rfam family "Bacterial small subunit ribosomal RNA", at positions 29 to 507 of the family's 1533-position model. The record is from RNAcentral.